UUAUUAUCUUCGCUACCGGCGACAUAUGAGUAUCUGGUGACCACGUUGCUUUAUGGCAAAGGGACCAUAAACGUGGAGGCGGUCACAGCGGCGCUUCUCUCGAACGAGAUGCGGAAGAUGACUCAGGAGUCCGACACGCAAAGUCAGGAUGUAGGACUGGUGGUGACUGCGAAGAAGGAGGCGAGAAUAUCGGCGACCGGAUAUCGACAGAAGAAACCGCUAUCUGAGGUAGAAUGCUUUUACUGUCACAGGAAGGGGCAUAUCAAGCGCAAUUGUCGAAAAUUUCAGAAUGAUCUGAAGGAGUUAAAGCGACAGAAGGAGCAAACUGUUGUGAACCAGGACGAGACGGUAUCAGCGACGGCGCAGACAGCAGAGUCGGAGAUGAUCGAUUCUGAUGUGUUGUAUGCGGCGACCGGAGGUGCGAAAAUUUCGGACGAUGCGUGGGUGCUCGAUUCGGCGUGUUCUUUUCACGUAUGCCCGGAAAAUGAGUCUUUUGCCACCUAUAAGGCGAUCAAAAGUGGAAAGGCUCUCAUGGGGAACGGGACGGCGUGCAAAGUUUUGGGAGUCGGCAUGGUGAAGAUCCGAAUGCACGAUGGGGUCGUGAGGACGCUGACAGGUGUUCGGCACGUUCCUGGAUUGAAGCGGAAUUUGAUCUCGUUAGGCGCAUUGGACUCGAAGGGUUGCGAUAUUUCAGCUUCAGGUGGAGCUAUGAGGGUCCGAAAACGAGAUCGGGUCGUAUGCGAGGCGAACAAGCGUGGGAACUUAUACGUUCUGAACGGGAGCACAGCCAGAACGGGAGCGAAGACGGUUUGGGUUCCAAAAGUUCGCGGAUGUGCAGUUGCUCGAGACGAAGCGACGGAUGCGGCGACAUCGAGCCGAGGAGACAAGCUCAAGGUGGAGCUUGCAUGGUGAGCUCGACGUAGCGGUUGAAAAUUACAAAUCAAACCAAGGUGGAGAAUGUUAGGAUUUGGUUAGAUUUGUAGUUAAAUCCUAUUUGGAUAAGAAUUAAUAUUUAAAUCUGUUUGAGAUAAAUUAAGAUUUAAAUAUUAAUUAGAGGAUAAACCUAACUAGAUUAGGAUUAAUAUUUAAAUCUAUUAGAGAUUGAUUAAGAUAGAUUUAGAUAUUAAUUAAAGUAUGAAUCCUAAAUAUAUUAGGAUUGGGGUACGUUUUAAGUUGAGCAUUAUAAAUAGGCAUUGUGGCUCUCUUUUUUGAGAGGAGUACGGCUGGAACCAUUAGGGUGUCGUACCAGAGAGAGAAAAAAGAGAGAGAGAGAGUUAUUUUAGUGCACCUCGUGCACGGGUGCACGCGGAGAGGUCUUCUUUGUGGGUUCAUAGAAGACGAGAGAAAGGUAGGAGAGAUUCAAAAAGAGGGCUAGGGUUGUAGCUACUCUGUUGCAGAAGAGGAGUCAGGUGUAAUCUUCUCUUAUUUAAUGAAUCUUAUUUUACCUGCAUAUUUUUUUCUUUUAUGAUUGUAUCAGCUUUUGCUGAGGAGACGGGUUUAUGGUAAAAACCCGAUUUGACGUUUCCGUUGCGGAAUCCCAACAAUCGAUACCGGAUCCACAGCAGUCGGUAUCGGAGCGGGUUGCGGAUUCACGAGAUCCGGUACCGGGGCGAGUACCGGAUUCCCAACAACGAAAUGAGUAAGAUAAGGUUCCUUCUGCAUUUUUAUCUCUUCUGCCUUGUCAAUUUGUUUUGCUGGAUAUGCUACUUGUAGCCUUCAGAUUUUUCAAAUCUUAUUUUGUAUUGUUUUAUUUUCAGAUUUAGUUAUCUAGAAUAUCUUGCACGCGUAAAAUAUCAUUCUAGAAGUUGGUUAUGGAAUUCUGGAAUAUGUUUUUGGCGAAGCAUGCUGUCUGAAGCACACUAAACUACUAAUAACUGCCCAAGUACAAUUUCCUGUUCAUGCCUAAAGUUGAUCUUGUUUUAUUGCAUUGAUUUUUUUUUUUUCUCCCAAAAUCUGUAAGUGCAAACCUAUUGUAUCAGUUGUUAGUGUUUGUUAAUCCUCGUUGUGCAAGUGUAGCAUAGAUAUGUGCAAGUGUAGGCAUAGAUAACAAUUUGUAUUGCUCUGAUUUUCAUAUAACACAAGCUCUGACAGCUAUUGAGUGCUCAGAAAUCUUUCAGGUUCAGUAGAAUACCAAACUAGAAAAUUUCUCUGCCCAUUUUCCUUUUUUUAUAUUUAGCUUUGUGGGUUGAGUGGAGUAACAUUUUACGAUGCAUGUAUCGAUAUCGUGAUAUAUGGCUGUUGGGCCGACACUAGGGUGGUUUUAGUUCUAUGUCUUGAUGCAUGUUCAUGGUUGGAGUCCUUUUUAUUAUAUCGAUGCUUUUACUUGCAUAUAUGGCUUUUAGUGCCAGAAAGCUAAGAUUCUCACCUUCUAAAUUCCAUUUGAAGUUGUGCAGAAACAGUUCUCUUUUGGUUCGACAUGUCUAUUGUUUAGGUGUUGUCUUUACCUCCCCUGCGCAUUUGUGCAUCAAAGAUUGAGCAAAUUGAAUGUGGUGGGUCCUAAGCAGCAAGUUACAAUCAACUUUGUUUGCUAGUCUAGCUAUUGUCCUUUUGAUGGAGACUGAAGCAUUGCUGUGUUUCUGCUGCAAUUUCUUUCAUUUUGCUUUGUUCAGUUCUGUUUUCAGAUAAUCAGCAACUUUUUUGCAUUGUUUGGCUUGGCGAUUCAAUUUUCUACACCCUUCUAGUCUCUGUCGUCUCCAUUGGACUCAUUGAAACAUUUGUUGCUUUCGGUGAGUAAAGUAUCCAUGCUUGUGGACAAAAAUUUGGCAUGAGAGCACCAUUACAUAUAUUAUUGUUGCUAGAAUCUAGUUAUAGCUAUUUUAGUUGCCCAUUUGGUACUUGCAAUGGAUUAUGAAGAGAUUAAUCACUAGUGCUUUGCUUGGAAGAGAGCAAAGGUGUGUGUAAUGGAUAUUGUACCCAUGCUUGUGGACAAAAAUUCCACUAGAGGCCUGGGAUGCGCCACACGACUGAUCAGGUAGCCUCUAUAUCAUCAUGCUCACAGUUUAAGACUUAGGAAGUAUAAUGAGACUGCUUAGAUUGUGUUCUAUAUAAAUCUUAUCCCCAUCGUAAGUGAAAAAUCGAGAGGUCUUUCCAUAGCAUGAAGAUACAGAAAGUGUUUAGGUCGUUCUCCGGACUCUUCUCUGCUUCUCUCUUUCUCUUGCUAACUUUUUCGGGUCAUCGUACCCUUUCUCACUGGCCUUUGGCCGGAUUUCUUUUCUUUUUUUUUUCUAUAGUUUUUGUUUCAUUAUGUAUGAAGUUAUUUUCCCAAUUUUGUCACAAUCAAGUUAAGUCUUAGUCUCUCUUUUGUUCCUCUCUUCUUCUACUUGAAAAUUUUUUCGUCUUCUCGAAACUUGUCUUUCUUCUGUUUCUUCACUCGGCAUUGCAGCUGUCAAGCACAUCUUUUGGAGCUUGAUGGGUCCAGAGGAGAAACGGUUUUUGGCAUGGUUCGAAUCGGGAGUCGGAUCAACAAUGACCUCUUGAAGCUUGUUUUUCCCUGUCGUUAUUUUUUUCCAUAUUUCUUUUUUUUUUUUUCCUCCAUAUUUUGUUCCUUACGGCCAUUAACAUUUAGGUGCUUAAGUCAGUUUUUUAGUUGAUAGGCAGGUUCAGAGGACCGUUCUAUAUUUUUUUUUUUCUCCAUGCUUCUUCAAUCUUAUAAUAAAGCUCUACUUUAUUAAUGAAUUACCUACGAGCUUCACUCAAAAAACAAUUAGAGUAAAACGGUAGAAAAUUAUGAUCUAAAAUUAAACAAAAAAUUAGAUUGAAACAAUAGAAAUCUAAGAUCUAAGAUUAAAUUAUUGAUUAGGCUUUUUAUUGGGGAGGGUGGGGACGAGUGAGAGGGCAGUUGCAGAAUCAUUGUGAUCACCCUACGCCGGACAAAAUGAUUUGCAUGUGGCUAGAGCUUGUAGGGCUUCACCAAAUACUACUGCUUUUCUUCUACCCGCUCCUCCCAUUCAUGCGAUGGGGUAGGCAACUUCUUUUCGCUAGUGGGGCGCUACGGAGACCAGACCACCACCAGAUGUGGCUUAACCGGAAAGCGACUUCAAAGUUCAAACAACUCCAAUAAUAUCAAAUCUAAUUUAAUUUAAUCUAUUUUUUUUGAGAGAGAAAAGUAAUAUACUAUUCACUUUGUUCGUUUUUUUAUAAAAAAAAAUUAGUUAAAAUUAUAAAAUAAUUAAAUUUUAAAUUUUGAAUUCUGAAUAUCAACCAUCAAGUCCUCUGUUACUUACCUAAGGACGAAGGACGGUCGGUAAUCUAAUAACCUAUUGUUAUUAGUUUUUAUUUGAUAAAUAACAAGAAGCGUAGCUGAGUUGGUGCAAAGCCAACUUAAUUUUUGUCCCCAUCUCCCAAUGAAAUUUCCCCAUCAAAUACGCGUGAGUGUUAACCCAUUGCCCUCAUCAUGCGGUGAAAACAGCUCUUUUACUUUUUCAGCUACAAUGAUCACCGGUGAUCCCUUUGCCUCAUGAUACUUUGUUAUAUCCAACAUUAUUUGUCUCAUUUUUCUAGAUGUACGCACUGGUCAUUGCAGUCAAAAGUGUCUGACACUGUGUAAUCAGGCAAUUUAUUAGUGUUUUACUAAGGACCUCUAUGUGUCCCUACUGUAGGAUUUAACACCUUUAGAUGAAGUGUUCUAAAUUCGCAACAAACUCCACAUCUGAAAUAAAAGCACCUUGUUAAAUACUGUGGGGCUAGGUAUUUAAGCAGCGGUUAAUUAAGACAUUGGACCUCACCUACCUGGUAUUUUUUCCGGAUAUAUGACAUGAACUUAGAUAAAAAAAGUUAAAAACACACUCUUCUCAAUGACUCAGAUUGUAUUAUGAUACGCACCUCGUCUUCCUCAUUACGUUUGGCCCCUUUCACAGCUUUUGGCUUCUGAUUUGCUGCAGGGCUAAUGAUCAACGAUGUGGGGUCGAUCAACCUUCCAACAUUGGAUUGGGUCCGUAGCAGGUCUCAGCAUCAGCGAAAAUAGAAUUUCUAACCUCUUCGAAUAACAAGUACUAGACCAAUUUAAAUAAUUAUUAAUUUUUUAGUUUAAUUACGACAGUAAUAAAAUUAUAUUUACAAAUGAACUGAUAAUUAACUGAAAUAUUUUUUAAAAAAAGGAUGAAAUCUAAAAAACAAAACAAAGAAUAAAUAAAGGGGUAAGUGCAUAUGAUCGUUUGCUACAGAGACAUCCAUUGGUAUCACGUAGAAAGUAUGUAAAUAAUAUCUUUGCUUAUCUUAAUAACUUCAAUGGCAAACCACAUUCUUAUUAUUAUUAGUCAGUUUAUGGUAUUUUAAAUAUCAAGCACUUGAUGCUACCAAAUUUUUUAUCAUUAGACUCAUUUUUUUGAAUAAUUAAUUUCACCUCUUAAAUCAUAUUAUUCAACUAACAACUAACUAAAUUUUAGAAGAAUAACUAUUAUUCUAACACUAUAAAUUUAAUUCAAAGACCGAAAAUUUAGAAGUACUAAUGACUUUGUAUUAUUAGAAGCAUUACAAUCUAAUUUUGUUAUUCUUGUUAUUAUUAUUAUUAUUUUUGUUGUUCAUCUCACUCUCUCUCUCUCACUGAUUUAGGUCCUCGCCUCAUCAGGGCAGGGCCCUCUAAGUAAAAUCCAAAAUGUAAAAGGGGCUCUAUAGAAAUUCCUCUUCUUCGGGCUUUUUCUAUACUUCUUUUCCUCUUCAUCAAAAGACGCAUGCAUUCGCAUUCUCCUUCGCUCACCAUUACUGCUUUCUCCUGUGAAGGAGGGAGAGAGCGAGAGAGAGAGAGGGAGAGAGAGGGAGCUUUUUAUGCACAAACCAUUAAUUAUUCCUCUCCUCGCUUUGUUUGGUUAAUUAUGGACCGAGAAACCACUCAAAGUUCCCAUCUUGGUGUUGCUCACAUUGAUUUUUCUCUUUGAUUUUGUCUUCUCCCCUGGUUUUAAACACGCCCAUUGCGAUUUCUUAAUCCACUCGUAAGUUUUCUGCAUACGAUUUUCUUUUCUAAUUUGUAUAACGUGCUCUUCAAUGUGUUGGGUCGGGAACACAAAUGCGUUCCCGUUUUGGAAUGUUUCUUACUGAAGCUCUAUAGGAAUUGAAUUAGAACUCUAAAGGAACCCCAUUUGCUUAUACUCUAGCUUGUUUCAGCAUUUUCCUUGAUUAAAGCCACCAAUUGUUUCAAUUUUUGCAGUGCCCUUUCUGUGUCACAUAAUAAAAAUCGCAACUUUAGCUAGAACUAGUAGACUCUUCCCCAAAUGUUAGUACAGGGAGAAAAAUCCCACAAAGACCUCGAGGCGGGGCCCCACCGUUGCCCGGCAACGGCGGCGGCGGUGGCCGGUGAUGACUCUGACGAGAGCCUCUGCUUCUCUGACACCGAGGACCGGUCGUGGCAUUCUCGCGAUAACUCAAAUUGCCCGUCCAUUCGUAGCUUAGGGGAAGAAGCAUUUGAGCCUCGUAGGAAAUCCUCCUUAUCAAAUUGCUCUUUUGAAUUCGAUUUGGAAGACGGACUCUCAGAAAUUGAAUCGAAUUUGGAGAAAAUCGAAAGAGAUUGCCGGAUUUGUCAUCUCGGUUUGGAAACUGCGGCUUCGGAGUCAGGUUUCGCGAUUGUGUUGGGCUGUUCUUGUAAAGAGGAUUUAGCUCUUGCUCACAAGCAAUGCGCGGAGACUUGGUUCAAGAUUAGAGGAAAUAAGUAAGACCAAUUGAUUCAACUUUAGUAUCUGUUUUGAUUCUCCUUUGCAUAGUUUGUUAAUUUGAAUAUUUUUGCCCUGCUUUUCCUGCAGUAGAUAUGCAUGAGAUUAUGCCCGCAUUUGGGUUUAGGUUAUGUUGUUUAUGAUUGAUCAGUGAUAGCCGCUACAUGUAGUUCAUGUAUACAUGAAUGGUUAUGGAAUCUAAGUAUUUUUUUUUGUUUCUUAUAAUGGCAAAAGAAUCUAGAUAAUGAGGUAAAGGUAAAAGAGAUGAUAAUAAAUUAAUAGAACCUAAAGAUUAAAGUCAUGAAGCAGGAAUCAGGACUACCAUUGGUAAUCAAAACAUGUUUGCGGUCCUUCACUUUUCCGCCCACCAUUGCUUUUCUCUUUUGUUCCAUAUUCACAUAAGAUGGAAUUUUAACUUACUAAUUUUUUUAGCAUAGGUAUCUUGUUUCUUGGCUAAGUAUACCAACUGUGUAAAAUAUGGACUCGAGUAUAUUUCUCUAAUUAUUGCUUCUAAGCUAAAGGAUUUGAGUUCAAUAUAACUUUACAUUUAUACUUUUCUGUUUCUUUGUAGGAAUUACGUAUAUAUUUCUCUUUCCUUGUUGCGAUUACAUUGGAAAGUGCAUUUUUUGCUCCACUUAUUUUCUCUCUUGUAGCCGUUAUAUUAGCUAAUGUAUACUUAGAGGUGAGCAUGCACUAAAAAUCAGUUAAAAACAGUAAGAUUUCUUCGUAGCUUUUUUUAAUUUAAAGUGGCACUUCAAAUAUUUGAUAACUUCGGAGGUUCAUUAUGGUUGAAGGUGUGCUUUGCAUAAAGUAUUUCUAUCUGAGGUUGAUGAACUUUAGCAAAUGCUACAAUAAGGGCUAGAUACAAAUAGAUAAGAACCAGAGAAAUUGUAACUCAAGUGCGAGAGUUUAUUCACUAAAGGGUCAAGCAUACGAUAUACUUUUAUAACAAGUAAUAACUAGAAGAUAAUUUAUCUUAUAAUGUAAAGGCCCACUUGUCGUCCCUUUGAUUGGAAAAAGAGUUACUACCACGAAACCACCCACAAGUUGAAAAACUAGAAGAGUUUAUACAAGCCUAUUGCAGUGGCGUGCAAUAACUAAAUUCCUUCCCAUAUUAAUGAUGAUUCUCUAGUGCUAACCUAUUUCAUGGGCACUAUUGAUCAUGGCAUUGGUAGAAUAUUUUUUCCAUUCUUGUAAUUUGGAAAUAUUUUAUGAAUUGGUUGUAUGUUUGAAAUGUCCAUGGAAUGAGAGUCAUCCUUUUUUUUUUGUAGUUAGACCUAUGACUUUCCAAAUUAAGCGCAUUUUCUAAAUGGACAAACAAGGUACUUACAAUCAUUUCUAUUAUGGUCAUCAUGAUUUUGUUCAUCCGGGACAUAUACUGGUGUGACAGAGUUUGGACCUAUUGCUAUUGAAAUUCUCAUAAUAGGUGUGAUAGAGAUUAAUGGAAGGUCUCGGACUUGAUAAUUGGCCCAAGUAGAUCUAUUUUUUCUUCCAAAUUGUGUUCCAAUUCUUUUUUUCUUUUCACGUUGUUUCUCCGCGAUGCAUUCGAUACACGCUUCUUUUCAAGGCCCUUUGGUAUUAUAUGUGUCCUCACCAUGCUGAAUUAGUUAUCACUAAUUCACACAAUCCUGGAAAAAUUAUAAAAUCAUGUCGUAAGAGAAUACUUGCUUCACUAGCUUCUGCCGUAAAUUAAGAAGUUUAGCGGCCUCUCUGCUUUGCACACGAGGUUAAUUAAGCAAUCUCCUUACUUUUUGAUUCAGGCUAUGCCAUAAUGUUAUAGCAGCUUUCAUCAGACAUUUUGCUUUCAUAUUCUUAUGUCGGAUGUGGUUAUUGUAUGCUUAAAUUUAUCAGAUUUGACGAUGUUUCUUCUCUUUAGUGGUACAUUUUGAAAGAUAUGACAGCUGCUCUUGCUUCCAUUUUUACUAGGACCUGCGAAAUUUGUGGCUCAACCGCACAAAAUGUGGUCGGUUCCGGCGAGACUGAGUCCACCGAGCAAUCAAAUGAAGCAUCCAAUAUGACAGCGGCGCCCCUGCAACAAUCUGAGACACGAAGCUUUUGGCAGGGGCAUCGGUUUCUCAACUUCCUCCUCGCCUGCAUGGUCUUCGCCUUUGUUAUUUCCUGGCUCUUUCACUUCAACGUUCCGGGAUAAGUUCGAGAACAACAUCUACUGUUUUCCAUCCUUUAUGCCGACUGCUUAUCCCAAGGCGAGGCUACUGCUGGAAAAUUCUGAAGAAGAUUGGGUGAAAAUUGAUGACUCUUACCAAGAAUCUGUGGCCUAUUAUGGAAUAUUACUUGCAUUGCAAAGGUGUUUUUAUGUAAAAGAAGAUAAAUGCGAGCCGAAGGGAUCUGAGAUCUGAAACUGCAGGUUUAUUCUGACUAGAGGUGGAACUGAGAGUGUGGGAUUGGUAAUGUGCUGCCGAUUUAAUAGUCAGAUAUCUUUCGUGUAUUUGUUCCUAAACGUUUGAUUAUGUAUUGGCAUGUGUUCUUUUAUUAAGUUUGUGAUUCAUGUUUCGCAAAUAUGCUGGUCCUUCUAUUUGGAAUCUGUUACCUAAUCUUGUUUCUUUUUUGUAACAAAAAACAGUGACUACAUGAUCCAUAACACAUAGCUUCUAAUCUUUCAUUAUUUUUAAUUUCAAGUAUUACAGAGGUUAAUUGUUGAAAUCAAAAUCUGUAGGUGUUGAAAUCAAAACUUGCAGGUGUUGAAAUCAGUAAAGAUCUGAAACUAUUUUGGUGAGUUAGCUCUAAUCAUCCAAGCGAAAUAUUCAACAACCUAAUGGAUGGGAGUUGAUCCUAUUUUCUAUAAAUUUGGAUGGUGGAUAGGAGUCGAGUAAUUUUGUGUGCGCAACCACUUCCUACUAAUUACCAACCUGUAGAACAGAUCGAGCAAGCUCAUCUUGUGAAACAAGUCAUGCACACUAGCUUUUAAUUCUUUAAUUGAGCUAAUCACCGUUUGCAUCUACGGUUGCUUAAGGUUUAAUCUGAUAGUUAGGCCGGCUUGUUUUAUUAAGAGUUUGAUUAGUUUUAAAGCAUGGUUGGACCGCGAGGACGAUAUACAAGGUUUUAAGUGCCCGUCGAUAGCGGCCGUAUCCACCGUGCCGUACCGUACCAACAAGAUACCGGCACGAUACAGACCCAGUGCCGAUAGCACAACUCAAAACCCCCUAUUUUUUAAAUUAGUAAAUAAUUUCAUUAAUAAAGUUCAAAAGAUGUGAUAAAAAGACAUAAUAAAUAAUUAGAAUAUUUUGUUGUUUAAAAAAAUAAAUAUUUCAUACUAUUAUAUGUCGGCACUCGGCACAAAAGAAUUUUUUUGACUGGCACGCAUAGGCACGUACCGUGCCGUACCGUACCGGCAAGUUUUCGGCACAAUUUCGUGCCAUGGCACUUAAAAUCCUUGACGAUAUAUAAUCUGGUACUGAUCGAUCGAUGUAUUUACACACUUAAUUAAAAGCCAAAGACGCCCUCCAUAAAAAAGGGAGGUUGCUUCGCUCCUUAAAUUAAGCACGAGUUAUAUAAUUAAAUAUCAGAUUCUGGAUAAUGCAAUCGACAUUCCCAAAUAUUAAACUGUGUAAACAAAUCAUUUGCAACUUAAAAUUAAUAUCUUUAGCUCUUUUUUCGCAGGAUGAUAAUAUUUUUGCCCAGUUCCUUGAACAUUCGGAGCAAUGGACUACAUAAUAAACCGCAUGAAUCAGAGAACAUUCCUAUGCAUUAAUUAUAUAUACAGAAGAAUAGCUAGAAAAAGAAAAAAAAUUGUACUUACUAGAAUAUGUGAUGAUAAUAUUAAAUAAGAAAGAACAGUAGAUCGUGCGUGAGUUAACACUUUAUGAUUACGUGUCGGAUGGUGCAGCAGCAACUCUAGUGAUUUAGUUUUAUGAAACUAAACUCCCUCCUCGUGAUGGAUUUAUUAAUUAUCUAUGCUCUUUGUUUCUUUGGUCGGUUGGGUCCGUGCCGGGCUCAACGAGUCAUUUUAGCCUAUUUUUAAGUAGGAUAUAUAUAUAUGUUGGUGCAUGUCUCUGCAGGGUUAUGGUCCGGAUGAUAUUUCAUUAACUUUGUCGCUCAAGCAAACGUGUGAAUGUGUGAUGUUGUUGGCUUUUCAUGGAAAUAAUAAUUGUUUGCUGUGAGUAAUUUUUGUCCGGGACCAAACUAAUAGAUGGGACGGAUCAAAUCAUUAAUUCCAUAUUCCUAGUGUGUUUAAUUAAAAAUAAUAGAAAUUAGUUGGAACACACUAAUUUAUGUUGAGAAAGAAAAAUCUUCAUAUUUAUGAUACAUACACACACACACACAAUUUAUGUUGAGAAAGAAAAAUCUUCAUAUUUAUGAUACAUACACACACACACACACACACACACACACACACACACACACACACAGAGUCGAUUGAUCUUUUAUUAACUCAGAGUUAUACAAGUGAAAGUUAGUUUAUACUAAAACUUUUUUUUCCAAGUCUGAAUACAACUUGGAAUUGAAUAAGUUAUGAAAAAUGUGCUAGGCUAGAUUCAGCCUACUUGCUAUUUAAUUUCUUUUUUAAAAAAACAAAAAGUGUCAGACUAAAUUAAAAGUCAAUAAUUUUUCAAUAAAAAAGAAACGAAAGAAAGAAAGAAAGCAAAGUUAUAGUGUAGCUUUAUAAAGCACUUACGGUGCAUGUAGCUAGACCAGUUCCAUGCAGCAGAAGCUUCAGCGGAUCUAAUGUUCCCAACGACCGCUAUCAACCCCCAACGCAUCCUAGCCGAUGAUCCUUGAUUCGACGCUCUCAAUCAACCAAAGACUAAAUUAAUAGGAACUGCACAAAUAGCUUAAAAUUUUAAGCCAAUUGAUUUUCUUAAUUUCAAACCCCAAAUUAAACAAUUUCGCGACUACGUCCUAUAAAACCAAAUCAAUAGCAACACCGUGCGCUCACGUUCACGACUGGACUAUACUAUAACUACAUCUCUAGCUCACUAACCCUUUAUAGAGAGAGAGAGAGAGAGAGAGAGAGAGAGAGAGAGCUAGUUCUCCAUUGAUCAAUAUACAUUCCUAUGAGGAAGCUGUGCCCUAAUUUCGACAAAGAAGAUGGGUUGGACACCGUCCUCGAAGUCCCCAUCCCCGAGGAAAUGUUCACCUCGGGCGGCGGUGGUGGCGGUGGCGGCGGCGGCGGAGGCAACAAAUUCUGGCGCAAAAAUGUGAGGACGUCCGUGCGGCCGGGCAGCCGCUCCACUUCGUCCUCCCUCGGCAGGGCCGCCGAGCUCCAGCUCAUGCUUAGUGUCGUCGGCGCGCCGCUCGCUCUCCUUCCGGUCCCCGCCCAUAAGAGUACCAUAGCGAACUGCAACCCGAAGGACGGCCCUAUAGUACGUUCAGAGUUCUUAAAUAUCGAUCGUUCCGCGCGUAUAACAUAAAAUGGUUAGGAACAAAAGUGAUGAGAUUGCUCAUCGUAUGAUUCUUUUAAUUAUUACAGGAGGCAUCUAUGGCGAAGUACAUAAUACAGCAGUACGUAGCGGCGGUGGGCGGGGAGAAGGCGCUGGACGCGGCGAGCAGCAUGUACGCGAUGGGGAAGGUGCAGAUGAGGUCGACGGGGAUUAACGGCGACGGUCGUGGCAAGAAGGGAGGCGGGGGAGGAGAGGUGGGGGGGUUCGUGCUGUGGCAGAAGCGGCGGCGGCGGCGGCCGGAGCAGCUGAUGUGGUGUCUGGAGCUGAUGACGGUGUCCGGGUGCAAGAUCAGCGCAGGGAGCGACGGCAGGGUCGCGUGGCGCCAGACGCCGUGGCAGCAGCCCCACGCCUCCCGCGGACCGCCACGCCCGCUCCGCCGAUCCCUACAGGUCCUUUGUUAAACAUUAAUGCUUAAUUUGCUAAUUCUGUAUAAUAUAAUUUCUAUAUUUUUGUAACAAUUUCGUGCCUAGAGCAAAUGGCAAAGGACUUGGUGAUUGGUAUUCAAGACCCAAGUUUAAAUUCUAGUUAAUUCACAUUUCCAGCUAAGUUUAUUUCUAAAUGAAAUAAACGAAGCAUGUAGCAUGCUAUCUAUCUCUAAAAAAAAAAUAAUAAUAAAAUAAUUUUGUGCUAGUAGUUCAAAAAGGUUAUUUAUUUUAGUGCGGUUCCCUGGCCGAUCGAGCUAUCUAUAUUAACUAAAAUUUUAAAUUAUGUACAGAGAGAUUAAUUAUUGUCUGGUCCUGGUCUGACGUUUUCGUAGAAAAUUAAUAAUUAAGCUCAAUCUCUAGUUCCCGUCUUGUAUAAUUCUUUUUUUAAUAAAUUUAAAUAUAGUGAGUCCAUUUCUACAUUCAAUUUGUUAUUAUAUAAAUUACGAAUUAAAUUAUGACUUGACAUGGAGGAAAAGCGCUAAACGUGAGGCCAUGUGCUAAGCGGACAAAUUCACAUGGCGAUGGUGGUGGGUUGUUGUCACACCUAUAGCUAACUAACGGGGCGUUCCUCACAAGGAGCAUAACUACCGGUUCCCCCCNCUAUGCGGUCUCACCUCACGCUCAGAACCAAACACAAACUACUAGCUAGAUCACACACUUUGUCAACAUGGUAGGAUGAACAAAGUUUCACUUUAAUUCGCACCAACCAAAUCGGGCCACUCUAAUUUAGCUUGAUCUCGUUCUGCUUGUGCUGCUGCUGCUGCUGCUGAUGUUAUUAGUAAUUUCAGAAGUAUCGACAUCACCGCUUAAUUAUUAAUUAAUCCUAAAGCCUGACUGAAUUUGAGCGCAAUCGAUCAUACCGACCAACGACAGGGUCUGGAUCCCCGGCUGACCGCGAACCUGUUCGCCGACGGCGUUUGGGUGGGGGAGAAGGCGGUGGACGGGGAGGCGUGCUUCGCGCUGCGGGUCGACGCCGACCCCGCGGCGCUCCGCGCCCGCGGCAGCGGCGGCGUGGAGAUCGUGCGGCACACGGCGUGGGGGUAUUUCGGUCAAAAGACGGGCCUCCUCCUCCAGCUGGAGGACUCCCACCUCAUCCGCGUCGACGGCGUCUACUGGGAGACCAACACCGAGUCCUUCCUCCGCGACUACCGCGCCGUCGACGGCGUCGGCGUCGCCCACGCGGGGCGCAGCCACGUGGCGCUCUUCCGCUUCGGCGACGACGGACGGUCCACGUCGCGCGUGGAGGAGACGUGGACGGUCGAGGAGGUCGAGUUCAACAUCGUGGGCUUGUCGGACGACUGCUUCUUGGCCCCCGCGGAUCUGCAGGACGACGUGGGGGAUGAUAAGGGAGGGAGGACACGUGGCGGGACGCAGGCCGCUAGUGCCAGGAACAUCGGCCCCGCGCAGGUCGCCGCCGUUGAUAGCGAUCCGGCCGGAGGAGGAGGAGGCGGAUGCAAACUAAUUACUUAUUAAAGCUGCGAACUUUUCACUUUUUCUUUUUUCAUUUUUUUUUUUUGGUUGCUGUAUAACCAACCAAUGGCUUCGUGUAAAUAUGUAUUCAGAAGUUUGCGCCCAUGGAGAAAAAAAUUGAGGUGGUUAAUUAUAUUAUAUAUAAGACACGUUGUGAUCUCUCUUUUGAGAUGAGUUAUAUUGCUGCAAAAAGCGUUUACGCGGAACGGUGCGGGGCCAAUGUCGUCACAGAGCCGUGAGAAAGGCCAGGCCACGAGAGUCAACGCUAGUUAGUUCCCUAUAGCCAGCUCCCCACGUACGGUCCAGCCCCCCCGGGUGGGAUUUUUUUUUUUUCACAAUACAAUUUCAUUUUUGUUCACAAUACAAUUUCAUCGUCCAUUCAAAAUGAGAUCAAUGAAAAAGGAUGAGAGAGAGAGAGAGAGAGAGAGAGAGAGACUUAAUAAAUUAGGACAUAACACUGGAAGUAGCUAGGCCCUUUAUUUAAUUACUAGCUAGUGCAUUUUUGGGCUGCAACACAGCAAACAGGGGGGGCCGGGAAGAAAACAAACCUGAACGUGGAAAUUUAAACACACGUACUACACAUGCUCGCUUCAAGCAGCUAACUAACACUCUUUUAUUAACUAUAGCUAGCAGACCCCUAGUACGUAUCACACACACACACACACACUGCAUGCACACGCGCCGCUUUCGUCACAAAACCAAUGAUCAGUAGAAGUCCAGAUCUAGACCUGCAUGCAGAUAUAUGAUCGACGGCAUAUGCAUGAUCGAUCGAUGAUCAGGCAGAUGAGAUGUCGAUGGCCUUGGACGUGGGCUGCUGCUUGUCCUGCUUGGGCACGGUGACGGUGAGGACGCCGUUCUCCAUGGACGCCUUGGCCUCGUCCGUCUUGGCGUCCCGCGGGAGCCGGAACCGCCGCAGGAAGCUCCCGAAGCGGCGCUCCAGGCGGUGCCAGCUGCUGCCCUCGGCCUCCUUCUCCUUCAGCUUGUUGACGUCGUCGCCCUCCUCGUUCUCCUCCCGCUUCCUCUGCCCGCUUAUCUGCAGCACGUUCCCGUCCUGCACCUCCACCUUCACCUCCUCCUUCCUCACCCCGGGCAGAUCCGCCUUUAUCACGUGCGCCUCCGCCGUCUCCUUCCAGUCCACGCGUGCACCGUACGACGUAUCGUCCAGAUCCCACAGGUCGAACGGGUCGAACAGGAAUAUCGGGUCGAUCGACAUUUAUUUGAGUAAUCUUAAUGAUAAUAAUUAUAUAAUCAAAUUACGUACAUACGUCCGAAUGGGCGUGCUUUACUUAAUUGUAUGUAUAUGGGCUGCGUUUCGUGAUCAGGGAGGUGUUCGACAUUUAUAGGAGGGUGGAAACGGCACUGGGUGUAGACGUGAAACUUCGAGUGCUUUCUUUUUCAUUUUUCUAUUAUUAUUUCGUUUAUAUUUUUUCAUUUUUUGAAAAUAAAAUGGAAGAGACGGGAAGGACACGUGCGCGGUGUGUGCGUGCUUCUACGAGCUUCCAUAAGGCGCGCGGGAGAAAAAGAAAGAAGUACGAUCCCUUAAAUAAAUUUGCUAAUUAAAAUCAGAAACGAUUAGAUACGUAUAAGUUUAAUUGCAUUUACUUUUGAGUAAGAGGAACAUGGGAUUUGUGUUAAGAAGCGCUUGAAUCAACCUAAAAAACUUGAUCAUGCGAUGCAUCAACUUGAAUCCAACAAAUAAAUAUGAAUCAACAAAUUAAUUGUAGGAUACUUAACAACAGAUUGGAGGUGGGUGUGUGUACACACGUGUGAAUGCAUGCAUGUGUGGAUGCGUACGUGUGUGCCAUAAUUGAGAGGCCUAGGUGCUUCCUUGCAUGCUUUGUUCGUUACUUAUUAAUGAAGAUAAAAGCAAAGGUUUGCCUGUACCUACGUGUCCCAAAAAAGUACUGAAGAGAAUCAAUUAUGAUCAACGUUCAAAAUGCACGACAAAUUUGGUAAGCAAACUUAAAGGAGUGUAAAGAGAAGUUUUGGAUAGAGGUAAACUUAAAAAGGAGAAAAGAACACUAAUAAGUUUAGACGUAAAGCAACAAGGAUUGCUAACCCACGUAAGUCAAAUUAUGGGAUCGCCAAAAUUGCUAGAAUCGCUGAAGAACAAGCUGAGGCCUAACAUUAUGGGCCGGGGUCGCUGCAAAAAGAAUUAAACUAUAUAUUGGGACGCUGACAUAUCAAAAAUAAUCUCACAUGAGAAAAAACAAAAAAGGAGAAAGAGAAAGAGUAGAGAAUUAAUUGAGAAGACUUAGUACAUAUCAUCGGGCCCAUACGUAUUGGCUUUUCAAGUUUACGGGUCAAAUAUGUUUGAAUAGGUGUGUCAUAUAGACGGGUCAUGUGGGCUUAGACCACCAGUAUCAGAGCCAUGAGUUGGCAACCUGUUCCCAUCGGGUGGUAUCAAGUGAUCCUGAAUUACGCCUAACACCACGUUAGGUGGCAUGAAUGCCAACCAAGUUUCAACAAAUAACAGUACUGAUCUCAAUAAUGUUUUAUUAGGGCAGAUAAAGAAACUGUUUAUGGUACUGAACAGUGUUGUUACCUUAUUAGAGAGCUCAAUGAAAUUCCAAGACCACACCUGGGGAUCGAGUAAUAGAUGUGUCGGCCGUAGAACCCGUCUUACAUAUUUUUCGAUCCGUCACACCAAUUUAUAAAUAGCAAGAGUGAAGGCAUACUUGUAGUUCAACUCACAACCAAUCGAAGGACCUGCUAACAAACAUUAAGGUUCAGAGUCUUAAUCCAACAAUUUAUUUAAGCGAAGUCAACAAUUAGCUGCAACGAGCAUGAAUUAAAUUAAUGAAUACAUAAACAGUAUUCAGAUUACGGUGUGAUGCUCGAAAGAUCCUGUGAUGGGCGAGGCUAGAUUAACGGCGUAGAAUAAUACACAAAAUAUUCGUAUACGUGACAAAACUCACAACAUAGAUUCACUGAAACAUAACACUAUAACGCGCGUACGUAGAACGUUCCGAACAGGGCCCACAGAUAGCCAACAAAGACGCAACAAUAACUAUUUGGAGCCCAUGAAGCGAUUGUACAGUAAAGAUACAUGGUCCCAUGUGUAUACAUGAUUUGGCAGAGAAAUAACUAACAACAAUACCUGAUAUUAUUAUUGUUAUUUUUAUUGUUCGCACGUAGAUAGUAAGAUCAUAUCUAUCUAUAUAUAUGGGGUGCAAAAUGCCAACCUAACUAAACCUGUGAGUUGGGUGCGAGCAACGUGACGAGCACAUGGUGGGCCGACCAUCUCUCCCACGAUCCACCCCAUUCCAGCCCAUCGCCAACCCAUCCCCACCGAUUUACACUACGCACACAUUAUUAUUAAGUGGGAGAACGUGCACACCACUCAACCAACUCUUUCCCCCUCAUGAAACCCUAACCCGAUAACACAACAUGCAUGCAUGCAUGGCUUUGUCCUUCUCCACCAAUUAUUAUUUAUUAUUAUGCUAGCUCUCUUUUUCUUUUUGUUCUUUUUUUAAGCCCACUCCAGUACUAUAUUAAUAUAUUAAUAUUCAUAGCCGAGGUUUGACUUGGUCAACACGUAUAGAGAAACACACUUACACCACUAUAUGUAAACCCGAAACUGUAGGGUCCGAAUCCCAACAAAAGACGUAACACCGAAUAAAAGCGAGGGGGUACGGCAAACAAGCCCUUGUUCCCCACAAAAGGCUUCGCGCUCAAGCAACCUCUUUUACACCCAUAUCGCUCUCACAGCUUUGCAAGCAAAAGAUUACGAAUAAUAUAUAUUAAAUCCAAAACAGAAAAAAGCAAAUAAAAAACACAAAAGUGGAUGCAUCAUUUUCCAACGUAAAACUUACAAGAGGGGGGGAAGGAAAAGACCCAGAAAUCACGCCCGAAAAGCACAGAUUCCGUUUCGGGUAUCAAGGAGAAAGAAUCCAAGGACAAGAAAGAAUUAAUCGAAGCAAUUUAAGCGGAACCAAAUAAUAUAUAACCAAUAAUAAUUAAAUACAAAAUAAUAAUAAUAUCACUUGCUAUUGAACUUCCAUAUUACAAUACAGUUUGCUCCAUACAUAAUACGACAAACCAACACCUUCUUUUUCACCCCCACAGUAGAAAACAGCAGGUGUUAGAGAUAAACCAACACGGAUAUCAUAAUGCUUCUUAUUAAUAAAAAUCACUUUUGCAAGAAAAGGGCUCGCUUAAGAGAGAGAGAGCGAGAGAAAUAGAGAGAGAGAGAGAGAGAGAGAGAGUUCGGUGGCGCCUUGGUGAGUUACCGCGGGCGGAUCUUAUUGCACAAAAAUAAAAAACACAAACCAAGGCCUAAUUCUUUCUCCAAAACGUUACUUAUUCUCUCCGCCCAAAACCUUUCCAACUUUUCCGUUUUCCCAAGCUGUUUGACCACCCCCCCCUUUUUUUUUUUUGCAUUUUGGCCUUCGAACAUUUCCGUCUUUUCCCCAGAAAAGAGAAAAAAACCAACACCAAAUACUCCCUCUGCUCCAAUCCGACCAAAAAAAAAAAGGAUAUACCUACUACUAAUGCUUCUAUUAGUAAUGCUACUUCUACCUAAACUAACAAUUAAAAGGGUUAGUAGAGAGAGAGAGAGAGAAAGGGGAUGCAGGGAAAAGGUUAAUAAGUCCACUCCUGAGGAAGAUGAAGCUCAUGGGUUGUAACAGUGGAGGGGGGUUGGGGCCGGAGAUAGUUGUUGCUGCGCUUCUGAUGCGGGAGCAUGGAGUUGCUUCGACCAAUUAGAACAUCUGAAUAACAAGCAGCGAAAAAAAUAAAAAAGUUAAUAUAAUCAAGCAUUAAAAAUAGAUGGAGAACGUAAAAAAACUGGAGAUUAAUCAAGUACCAUGGUCGAGAACGAAGCCACCGGGGUAACGCGGUUGCGUUCCCAACUCAUCCGGGUUUAAGUUCAACGCUUGGAUCACUCUAAUCGGGAGAAGCACGGUGGAACAAGCUACAAUUACCCAAAAAUAAAUAAUUAGAAACACAAGUACUAUACAUCGCCCAGUAAUAAUAAUAAUAAUAAAAUAUGAGAAACCACACUAGUUAAUUCUUCUUGUGCUUAUAAAAAAAAAAAAUCUAAUCUAAAUCUGGGGGUAAAAGAAAAAAAGGCUUUUUCCGGGGAUCGGCGGGAGCUCCUGGGCGCCGGGGCAGGAAGACGCCGGUUCCCGCGCUCUCGCGUUUCGCGCCGGCGCCGGCGAGGAAUAUGGCGCGCAUCCCCGACCCCUGCGGCGGCGGAGGCGGCGGCGGCGCCGCGGGAGGCGGCGGCGGAGGCUUCUGGAGCGGCGGCCACGCCGAGGGGGAUAACCCUAGCGGAGGACUAGAACGCUCCUCCCCGUACCCUCCGCCGCAGGACCGCACCCUGCUAUUAUGCGACCUCCCCCACGCCGCCGCAGAAGCCGCAUACUGCUGCUGCUGCUGCUUCAAAAUCUGCUGUUGCCUUAGCUGAUAAAACUAUCACCAACAAAAAUUAAAAAUUGAAAAAAAAAAAAAAGAAAAGAAAGAAACCAUGCUGUUAUAUUUAAAAAAUUCGAGCACUAAAAUGCGAAAGUGGAGAGGACUGGGAACUUACCUGAGCUGCUUGUAAUUGGCGGCGAGCGAGCACCGGAUCUGGGAAAAAGCUCUUCGGAGGAGCCGAAGUCGGCGCCGGAGAAGGUUUCGUCGCCGACUCCAGCGCACCGAAGCCGUAGAAGGUACGCUGCUUCUGUAGGGUUUCGUGGUUUUCCAUAGUAGUUUUAUAUAGCAAAUCCCAGGGCUCGUCGUUGCUCUUCUCCAGCGGAGAAGUCGGCGGCGAGAUCUGAGAGGUCCCGUUAGGGCUCUCGUUCCCCGGCGCCGACAUCAGCCCCACGCCGCAGAGCGUGGACUGUGGCGACCCCGAUAUCACCUAAAAAAUUUGAGAAAAAUUAAGAACGAAGACCCUAGAUCCGACGAUUUGGAAACCUCCGAAUCCGAGGAGGGAGUGGAGCCGCACCUUAGGGUUUUGAGCGGCGAGGGUGGAGAGCCCCGUGUUCUCUUCGUCGUCGUCGUCGAGGAGGAAGGAGUGGGUCAUCCGGCGGGUCAGCCCGGCGAGGUAGUCCUCCUCGUCGCUCUCCGUCUCCGCCGCCGAGUCGGCGGGCGAGUCCGAGGCCGAUCCGAGCCCGCUCGCGAAGCUCGACUCGUGAGAGCCGAACCCGCACACCCGACGCCUCUUCUCGUCGAGGAAGAAGUCGUCCUCGAGUAGCUCCGACGGGAGCCACAGCCCGGCGUCUCCCGCGAGCUCCUUCGCCAUGGCCGAAGCUGGAAAGUGGGAGAGGUGGGUUUCGCGGGAUGAGGAAGCGGUAAUAAUGGCGCCGCGCUCACUCCGGGAGUAUGAUUUCUCUGUCCCUGAUUAGAUUAUUCUCCUCCUCCUCCUCCUCCUUCUUCUUCUUCCUCUUCUCCUACUCCGCUGUGGUGUCUUUCCCACUCUCUCCCUUUGGGUUCCUCCUCUACUCUCUUUCUCCCACUAAUUUUUCUUGCUACGAGAGAGAGAGAAAAAUAGAGGGGAGGGGAGGAGAGAGAAAGAAGAGAGAGAAAGGGAGGGGUGAAGGCGCAGAGAGGUUUAAAGAAGGGAAUGUCGAGGGAGGAGAACAAAGGAGGAGCAGAGGAGUUAUAACAAGCGGCCGCUCUCUCGGUUAUAAGAGAACGGGGAUGUGGAAGUGAAUUAAAAUAUUAUAAAAUAUUUUAUAAAACUUUUACUUACAAUAUAUAAUAAAUAUACUUUUAUAAAAUCAACUCCAAUAUCUUUUUAAAUUGCAUUUAAGUCUCCAUAAUUUACCGUGGUCCUUUAAAACUACCAAAGAAUCGUCCAUAUUAGUCCUAGUUUUUACUUUUUAUCCUAGUUAACAUAAUGUGAGGUACUAUGCCCUUUCAACUCUAGUUUUUUCUUCUUUUCUUUUUACUUUCGCAAAAAAUCUCUUCCAUAGUAGUUCCUUAAAAAAAAAAAAAUUACUUUCUCGUCCCUAUUAGUCAUAAAUUUUUUUUAUUAAAAGAUAUUUGUAGAGUAAACAUUGAGCCAAAAUAUUGUUAAGUAUAACCUGACUAAUUAAUAUGCACAAUUCGAACUAGAUAAAAAGCUUUCAUGGAUUAUUUUUUAAAAAUUAUUUAAUAUUACUGGCUUAUUAUAUGCAAAGCAAAAGUUUCGGAAAUCAGUGGCUAAAAUAGACAAAAGAGGAGCAGAGCCCAGAGGAAAAGACACACGGUUGCACGUUUGGCCCUCUCACUCACCAAGCAUCUACUGUUUUGACAGAAACACCCCUUGGCUCCCAACUUUUACAUUUCCUACCGAGAGGGCUUUUUCGUAAUUUUGGCAAACUGGUUUUUUUAACUAUAAUAAUUUUAAAAAAUAUGAAUAAUUAUCCGUAUACCUUCGUACAUUUGAAAAUAUCCAAUCUAUCCCUUUUUUUUUUCUUUGUAAAAUACCCCUUAUAUAUUCUACCGUUAUUGCAAAAUAUCUCGGCAAUUAUUUUCUGUUAAAUUAAUUUGGGUUAAACGUGAGUUAAACAUUUACCACAGUAAAAAAAAAUUUAAAAUAUCAAUUUUGUCCUUAACUUAAGGGCAAAUAAAAAAUAUUGGUAACGGUAGAGGGGUUUAUUGAAAAAGAUUAGAAGUCAAAAUAGUUUUUGUACCCCUAACUUUAAUGACAAAUAAGAAAGUCAGCGAUGGUAGAAGGGUAUAUUUGAAAUGGCAAAAUAGUAAUUUUAUGGAGAUAAUAUAGUUCAUUAACAGAUUUUAACUCUAUGGGUAUAUUAGAAAUAGAUUGUAAUGUAGAAAAGUUAUUUUCAAUAUUAGUCUUCUAAAAAAGAUAAAGGGCUUUUUUUGCAAAUAGCCCCUUUACAAAUUUUUUUUUUAAAAUUGGCCCUGUCAAAAAUUUAUUUGCAAAAAUGGCCCUGGCCUCGCCACGCAAGCGCCACGUCAGUCGCCACGUGUUCGGGGACUGGGCAUUCAUGUAUGUUAUAGAUUAUAGAUAUAUGGAUGUUGCAUUGUGUGUGUCUCUUCUGACAAAAUUUUAUGUUAUUUUGGGCUUUUUUUGCAUGAUUGCCCCGUGUCUAUAUAUAUUUUUUUUAAAUUGGCACUGUCGAAAAUUUAUUUGUAUAAAUGGCCGACGGUGCAACGCAUUCGCUACGUCAGUGCCACUCGGACGAGGCUUUGCCAGAUGGUUAAGUUGAACACGGUGAAUGGUUCACCGUGUUCAAUUCAACAUAGCUCGGCUCGCUCUGUUUGUAUUGGGCGACGGUGGACGUUUCACCGUGUCCAAUACACCAAUUUUGUAUUGAACACGGUGAAUGGUUCACCGUGUUAAACUUAAACACCUCGGCUCGCCCUGCCCGCGUGGCGCUGACGUGGCGUUGGCGUGGCAGGGGCAGGGCCAUUUUUGCAAAUAAUUUUUGGACGGGACUAUUUUUGCAAAUAAAAUUUGUCAGAGGGCUAUUUGCAAAAAAAGCCCAAAGAUAAAUCGUAAAAUAAAAAAUAUUUUAGAAAUAUAUAAAUAAUUGUCCCUAAAAAUUAUGUAUAGAAAGUUUCUUCUGUCCACUCCAAUAAAUAUUCCUGUAGCUUAAACUAAAAUAUAUCCCUCCUUAAUUUUUUUACUUGAAUAAGUUAUUUGUUGGUAUUAUAGUUAAAUAAGUUGGCUUCACGGUUAGUUGACCAAAUUGUGGAAGAUGGGGGAACCAUCCAAAUCGUCAGGGUGGUUUGGAUAUAAUUGAUUAAAAUAUGUAUAUGUUAAUUAGCUGGUAAUAGUUAUCAAAACUUGUCGUGCAUGUAAUUAAGGAUAAGAAAUUUCAUGCAACUUAUCUAGACUUAUAGAAAAUCAUUCAACAGAAGGAGAUAAAAAAAAUGUGUCAAUUAAGUAGGAUUGAAUCAUGAUUAAUAAGAGUAACAAGUUUAUUGUUUCUACCACGAUAAGUAUCUGAGUCCUUGGUGCAGCGAAGAAGGAAAGCAAAAAAAAAACAUGAUUAUUUUGGAUAAAAAAGGAUAAAGUGAAAGAAGCUUUUCUUAGCUGUUAUCCAAAUUAUUCACGCACAACUUCAUAUUCUCAAGAUAUUCAUAAAUCAUACACACUUAUCAUUUUCAUAUAUAUAUAAAGAAAAAGAAGUUAAAUUUCGUUUUUAGAAACAUAUAUAAUACCUCAACAUGCUUGUACUUUUAGCCUUCGAAUCUGUCUUGAGAUCAAUGUAAUAUUAUAUUACAGAAUAUAAAUUCAUAAACUAAUGUCUAGAAAAAUUUUAAUCAUAUUUUAAAAAUAUUAUUUAGCUGGAUUGAGAUUUUAGAAUGUCUUGCUAUAUAAUACUCGCCAUAUAUAUUUCAAUAUCUGAUUUUCAAUAUUUGUUUAUGUUGUAUAUUAUACAGUAAAUUUGGAAAGAUAUAUAUGUAUAUAAGCACAAAGAAAUUACUGGUUAUUAAUGAAAAUUUUAUGCAAUUUUACACUACUAAAUAUUAUUAUUGUUUUCCCGUGCUUACUUAUGCUAAAAAAAAUUAUAUAUCAGGAUUUGAGUAAUUAUUAAUAUUUUAAAACGUAUUUAUGAUUUUAUGAUUAUUAUUAUUAUUAUAAAAUGACUAAAAUUCCUGAAACACUAUCUCAACGAAGGGGGGUUGGGUCAUUAUAUAUUCACACGUCAAAAAGGGUUUCACCGCAUUACCCCAAUUAAGACGGUAAGAAUACCACCGCCGAGUUACCGCUCGUAACGGACACUGCCCUAUGCGCCCGGUCUAAUAACCUCUCACCGAAAAGUUACCGCCACGAAAACUCUCCAUUUCCGCAGCCACCGGUCCACCGCAACGCAAAAUGUAAGGUUACUUUCGUACUCAAGCUGUGUGCGGUAUCCUCACCGCGCAUCACUCCACGUCACCGCGCGGAAAUAUCAGGAAUCUCGGGUUCGUGUGGUGACGUGGCGGUGGCGGAGAUUCUCGCGGGGGUAACCGUCGCCCGUUACUCUCCCGCUUCCGCCUUCAGGUGGAGAACUGGAGAACGAACGACGAGCCCACGACACACAAUUUUUAAACCACCAGACCCCCCACCCCACACUUCCGUCACCGUUAACUCUAACGGCCGUUUCGUAACGGCGCUGCUCGAAAUUAACGUUCCCGCCAACGCCACUUAAGUACGACGCGAAGUUAGGGAGUGGGGGAUAAUUAAAAGGAAAAACUAAAAACUAAAAACUAAAAACUAAAAAGGAAAGGGCAAACCGGGCGUGGGCCCCACUUUCCCUGUUCGCGGACGCAACUCCGCUAAUUUAUAUCGGGUUAAAUUUCCCCGGACGCCCCCCCUCCUCAAAGAAAACACGAAAAUUGUUUUGCAUUCGCUGAUGCUAUGUUUUUACCGUAAAAAGGAAAAAGGAGGGGAGAGGGGGGGGUGGUGCAGUGAAAAAAAGCUAUUGCUCCCUCCCGUAAAGCAAAAAUCCCACACACUGCUCUUGGAAUAUGAUAAAAUUAAUAUUUUGAUCAAAUAAAUGCGAUUUAAAAAAAUCAUUUUAUGAUUUUAUUUUUAUAUAUAUGUAUAGAUAUUAUUAUUAUUAUUAUUAUUAUUAUUAUAAACACCAAAAGGGGCAAGGGACAAGUUCAAUUUAUUUUGAAUUCAAAAAUUUAAAUUUGGAGCCGCGGAAUUUUGUCCUAGUGGUGGGGGGAGCUGGGGAUGAAAACGUGGGGACGUGCUUAUUUCCUGACGAAAAGGACGGCACAAGAGAAACGAAAAUAGAAAAUUUAUAUGUGUGGCAAAAUUAAAAGCCUGUAAAAAGUGUAAACUGCGGUGCUGGGGAAACGGAUGAACGUUGGAGGAGGGGAAACGCGUUUCGCGGAAGAGGGCCGGGCCCCUCUUUGCGGGCCGGGUUGCACGAAAAACAGCGUUAGUGGCCCAGCUGUUGCUGGGCUUUUUUCUCCGUACACCGAGACGACGUGAAGAGUCUAAUCUACUGUCGCGGGCGCACGCCGGGCAUUCCGACUCUGGAUGACGCGGAGCAAUCUUACUGGGUGGUCUACGGAUGACGUGGUACAACGAUGCAGGAUGCAGUAUACGAGUUCCUACACCAAUUGUUUUUUUAAUUAUAUUUUUGGGGUGUUUCCCGCCGAAAGAGGGAAACGAGGGAGGGGGCCCCCCAAUGGGUCGCUGUCACAGCUCCGUCCUCGCACAAGCACUUUUUGAAAUUUGAAUUUUUUUUAAGUUUUUUUGGGAGCCCGUUUCAAUUUGAAUUUUGAAAUUCCUCUUUAAAAAUAGGAGCUAUUUUGGAAACAGCAUAAACGGAGUGUUAAAUGCUUGCGAAUUACAAAAAAAAAAGUUAUAACUGUUACUACGGUUAUGAUUUUAAGUUUUUCUUUUUACUUUACUCUUAUUACUGAAAAAAGCACAGCACUUCAUACUUUCCAAUAGGGUACUUUUGAAACGGAUAUGGAAACUUUGAAUUGCUGCAUUUAUUUUGUGCCACCGAACCACAGCAACAAAAAAAAAUAAAUAAAAAAAUAAAAAAAAUCUUGUUUUUUUAAAAAAAUCACACCAGAAAUGAAUCUAGCAAAAAAAUAGAACUUAAGAAGACAUUAAUGAAAAUAGUGAAGUUGAGAAACAUAACUAUUUUCUUUUUUCUUUUUUUUUUUUUGAUAAAAGAGUAGCAUAUUAUCUGCUUCGUUCUAGAUGAGGCAAAGGGGGUUUUAUAAAUAAAAAAAAAAAACAUAUCAGCUUAUAUAAAUAUAUAAUUUAAAAAGUUAGACAACUUGCUAAGGAAUUGUUUGAUUUCCAAAAAAAUCUUUGAAAACAACUAAUCUGUGAAAAAUAUGUAAAACAACUAAGGAAGUAUUAAUUAGAAAAAAAAUCCAGAUUCUGUAGAAAAACAAUAUUUUUAUUUUUAAAUGUUUUAUUAAAAAAAAUAAAAAUGGUAAAAAAUUUAUUUUGCUUAUGUAUCCAAAUAAUAGUUUUAUGUAUUUUGUUUCCAGAAUCUAAACAACCCAUAAUUACCAGUGUUUUAAAAAAUUAGGUUUGCACCAACUUGCCCAAUCAAUCGGACUGCGACCGGGUCCUUAAGCCGGUUUGAUUUGAUCCAUAAAAUCGAAAAUAUUUAAAAUUCUUAUUGAUCUAUCUGAAAUGACGGUUCAACUAGUAAACUAGCCUACCGACCGUCCCUAGAGCAAGUGGUAAAAGAUUUGGUGGUUGGUAUUCGAGACCCAAGUUCGAAUCCUAGUUGAUUCACAUUUCUAGUUAAGUUUAUUUCUGAAUGAAAUAAAAGAAACAGAUAGCGAGCUAUCUGCCUCUCUCAAAAAAAAAUAAAAAAAGAAAAACCUAGUAAACUAACCUCAUUUUAAUUGGACUGAUGAUUUGAUUAGUUCAGUUUAAUUUUUUUCAAAAAAUUAUAAAUAUAUUUUAUUUAAUUUAUUUAUAAUAUUAUUUUGAUUUUGCUGGUUUGAUCGGUCGAACCACAAAUUUGAUCAGUUAAAUUAAAGAGACCUAUCAAUUUUUCUUUUUUCUUUUUUCUUUUUUCUUUUUUGGGUUUGUGCAAUCGAUUUCAAAUUUUAAAAUAUAAGAAAUUGUCCUGCAUGGUGCAUUUUCAAUGUACAACAACAAAAAAGCGCCGUCCCAAAAAUUUGAACAAAGGAGGCGCCAAAAUUGUAAGGGAAUUUUGGGAGGGCGUAGUAGAGCUGUACAGUUACACCAGUAAUUGCGUUGCACCUCUGGAUACAACACACAACCGACGCGUACGAUGCGGUGGAUCGCGCUAGUAUCUGAUCGUACGGCCGUUAUACCUCGCCCCAUACGACAUGAUGUGAUGCGAUCUUUUUCCAAACCGACGACGCUGAUUUGAUUGGACGACCCUGUUAUCUGAUCCGCGACGGACAUGUUUUGCUCCCGUGGGUGGGAGAUUGUUGUUUCCAAUUCGAAAUGAAAUAUACAAAAAAAACAAAUUAUUAUUAUUUUUUAUUUUACGGAUUUUGAAAAAAAAAAUGGAGUCUUGAUUUUUCGUUGUUUUUAAUAAAAACGAAAACUCAAACUAUAAAAAAAAAAUUAUUUUUUUUUAUCAAAAUAAAUAUGUGUGAAUUUUUUUUCUUUCAAACUAAAUAAAUCUAAAUUGUUUUUAUAUAAAAAAAUUAUUUUUUUUAUGGAUUUACUAUUUAGGUAAAAAUUGUGUGGUGUGGUGCGGUGCGGGUCCUAUUGGUCGCUGCGACCCGCGAUGGGCGGCGCGCGGUAAGGGAAACGGGUUCGAAUUUCGGUGCGGGUCCCACCCGCACAUGGGAGAUCGUAGUAGCACUCGUUCCAUGCACCGGGUUCGCCGGGCUUUUCGUGGGCCGUCUAAGUGGGCCCAGCCCUCGGAUCACUAGAACCUCGUUCGGACGGUGGGGAUUCGAAGAAAAUAUUGAUGGAGGGUGGAUGAUUUGUACGGUCCACAGCUGAGGUCAGUGAACAUGGUUCGUGUAGUAAUUUCACCGGUGACAGCUGUAGCUACUUAGGAGGAUAUGAAAAGGUAGAAAUAUUUAGGAUCGAAAAGGACUACGUAGAGUUGUUGCCCUACACGGCUAAAUGCUAAUAAUAAUAAUAAUAAUAAUAAUAAUAAUGGUGUACUACUCGGAUGGGCCUUUUAGUUUCAUAUAAUUAUAAAUAUAAUAUAUUUAAAAAUAUAAUAAUAAUUAUUACAUAUAUUUUAUAAUAUAUUUAAAAUAUAAUAAUUAUUAUUAUAUAUAUUUUAUUUAGUUGGUAUUAUUAAAAGUACUGUAAUUAUAGAUAAUCAUUUUAAUUGUAUUAAGUCUAUUUAUAAAAUUUUAUUAUUUUAUAUGUUGGACAUGGAGGCUAUCCUUUAUAUAGGAAAAAAAAUAUUUUUUUGUGAAAAGUAAUUAUAAGGAGGUAAGCUUUUUUUAUUUUAUUUACGACUACCUUCUCCAAUUGAUACAAUUGAGCUCUCUCGUACAGUUAAAAUCAAGUACAUCAAAUCAAACUAAGUACUGAAUUUGGAUCUGUAUUUAUUUAUUACUGUAAUGCAAUCAAACAACCUCUUAAUUUUGUGUCACCUGUUUAUAAUAUAUGGACGCUAUAAUGGGAGAAGUUUUUGUUUUGUAGCCCAUAUAUGUUAAUUCCAUGCAUCAAGUUGUUAUUUGAUUUUUUUUGGGUGCUUAAAUGUUAUUGAAGCGCAAACCAAACAGUGAAAAUUUCUAUACUCAAUAUUGUUAAUGAAGAGUAUUAAAAUAUAUAGCCUUGUAACGAAAUAUCACCUAGGACAUGGGAAAAUAUACAUAUACUUUGGGCGUAUUAAAAAUGUAUAAAGAUAGUAUUUUGGUGACCAAUGAAAAGUAGUGUAUGAAAGUGGCCGAAGAUGGCUAUCUUUUGAACCCUUGAGUAGUUGAGUGAUCCUUAAGUUUGCUAAAAUUUGUAGCUCAUCUUUUUUCUCCUAGAUUUUCUUUAUUAUCUCCAAGCAAAUUAAAUAACUUGUGUGGUCGAAAAGAAGCCAACAUUGUACAGAAAAGCCAAUAUGUGAUCAUCAAUCUCAAUAUAUACAUAUAUAUCUAUAUAUCAGGUGGAGCCACAAACUCAUUGGAGGAUUUGGAGGGGCCUACCAUGUUCUCUUUGCUUCUCUUUAUAUUGCUCAUAUCCUAAGCAUUAGGUUGGAAUUUUUAUUGACCAAUAUAGCAUCCUCCUUCAGCUGUUCUUAUCCACUUUUGGCUUUACAAGCUGUGGGGGUGUUGCAGGGGUGGGGGUGUGAGGUGUUUUGAUGUUCUCAUAUCACUGUACAUGCAUGGUUGCCCAGGUCAAAAUGUAGGUAAUACAUAGUUUGAUUAGAUUUUUGUUCAAUGGUCCAUCUACGUUGUACGCGGCAUGGGGUCCAUCCAAUUUAGGGAGAUCUGUGAUUCGGAGAUCGAUCAUCUUAUUUUUCGGCUUGUUUUUCACUUUAAUAUAUAUGUCGUGUUAGGACUCGUAUGAAUCUAACCGUGCUCGUAUAAUUAAUGUUCGAUUGGUUUAGAGCUUUUGCAGGAAUAAUUUUUCAGAGGAGGUAGAAUUAAGUUUAAAACUAUAUUUUUUGAUUUUAGAGGGUUUGAUCAAAAGCUCAAUCAACAUCCUAUCAAUAGAAUAUCUUACUUUACUGUUUGUUAAGCACCGUAUUGCUACUUCGUAUAGCCAUUAGAUUAGUUUAUUUCGAAAGCCAAACUAGCUAAUUACUAUUAACUUCUUCAAAAACCAAUCCAACACUCCCCUCCUCUAGAUCUCUCUCUCUCUCUCUCUCUCUCUCUCUCUCUUCUUUGGACAUGCAACAACUUCCACUAGCUAAGACAUGAAGCAUCAGUUGCGGCAUUUCUGGCACGUUCAUAUGUCUCCUCUGUUAUGCAUGCUAGCCACUAUGUCCAUGAUGAUUGAUAUACAUAAAAUAUAUAUAUAUAGCUUAUGUUCAUCUUCUAAAAAGCCUAUAGAGCCCCACAUACCCUUCUCCAUUAUUAUUCUAGUUAGGGAGAAAUGCAUGAACAUUGAUCACCAUGCACAUGCAAAUCCUACAUGUAUAUCCCUCUAUAUAUAUAUAUAUAUAUAUACAUCCUUUACACCUAUGAUGAGACUUGUUUACGU
Molecule: long non-coding RNA, 29434 nt
Filed under: Ananas comosus (pineapple)
Lineage: Eukaryota; Viridiplantae; Streptophyta; Magnoliopsida; Poales; Bromeliaceae
Description: long non-coding RNA (ACOM_LNC032094)
Source: RNAcentral